UAAUUCGUCUAUAGCCUACCCAUUUUUUUGCAGCGUGACACAUACGAUGACACUACAGUACUGAGACUCGCCUGACACAAACUCGACGUACAUGUACCAACUAGCCAAGUUGAGCACAUAUUGAAAGCGAGGGAGAUGCUAUCCAGAACUAUCGACUAUUACAUCGAACGCGACUCAAACGCCAUCUCUUACGAGGAGAACACAACCGUAUCCAGGUUCAAAGUGAGAUUAGUCAAGGCUAUCGGCAGGAUACUAGUGGAAGCACACAAGCAAUUUGAAGAUAAACGCACUGGAAUCACGGAAGAAUUUAGAUAAAUAAAUACCUAUGUU
Long non-coding RNA from Cydia amplana, 330 nucleotides. RefSeq lists it as uncharacterized. NCBI's taxonomy places the organism in Eukaryota, Metazoa, Arthropoda, Insecta, Lepidoptera, Tortricidae. The transcript has 2 exons. The record is from RefSeq and is a predicted model, not a curated record.